Molecule: ribosomal RNA, 643 nt
Filed under: uncultured bacterium
Lineage: Bacteria
Description: bacterial SSU rRNA
Rfam family: Bacterial small subunit ribosomal RNA
Source: RNAcentral
CGCGGCCUAUCAGCUUGUUGGUGAGGUAAUGGCUCACCAAGGCGUCGACGGGUAGCCGGCCUGAGAGGGUGACCGGCCACACUGGGACUGAGACACGGCCCAGACUCCUACGGGAGGCAGCAGUGGGGAAUAUUGCACAAUGGGCGAAAGCCUGAUGCAGCAACGCCGCGUGAGGGAUGACGGCCUUCGGGUUGUAAACCUCUUUUAGCAGGGAAGAAGCGAAAGUGACGGUACCUGCAGAAAAAGCGCCGGCUAACUACGUGCCAGCAGCCGCGGUAAUACGUAGGGCGCAAGCGUUAUCCGGAAUUAUUGGGCGUAAAGAGCUCGUAGGCGGUUUGUCGCGUCUGCUGUGAAAUCCCGAGGCUCAACCUCGGGCCUGCAGUGGGUACGGGCAGACUAGAGUGCGGUAGGGGAGAUUGGAAUUCCUGGUGUAGCGGUGGAAUGCGCAGAUAUCAGGAGGAACACCGAUGGCGAAGGCAGAUCUCUGGGCCGUAACUGACGCUGAGGAGCGAAAGGGUGGGGAGCAAACAGGCUUAGAUACCCUGGUAGUCCACCCCGUAAACGUUGGGAACUAGUUGUGGGGUCCAUUCCACGGAUUCCGUGACGCAGCUAACGCAUUAAGUUCCCCGCCUGGGGAGUACGG